Molecule: non-coding RNA, 598 nt
Organism: Xyrichtys novacula (pearly razorfish)
Lineage: Eukaryota; Metazoa; Chordata; Actinopteri; Labriformes; Labridae
Source: the annotation of a GenBank genome assembly
UUUGGACAGUGAUUUUAACCCUAACGCCAAAAACCUUAAACCUUACCCUAGCCCCAAAACCUAAUUCCUUCAGGAAACCCGAAGACCCCAAAUAUUUUUUUUUCUUUUUCUUUUUUUUUUGUCUAACUAACUCCCAAAGGUCUGAAACAUGUUCCUUAAAAAAAUAUUGGACAGUUAUUUUAACCCUAACGCCAAAAACCUUAAACCUAACCCUAGCCCCAAAACCUAAUACCUUCAGGAAGCCCGAAGACCCCAAAUAUAUUUUUUUCUUUUUUCUUUUUUUUUGGUCUAACUAACUCCAAAAGGUCGGAAAAGAGUUCCUACAAAGGUUUUGGACGGUGAUUUUAACCCUAACACCAAAAACCUUAAACCUUACCCUAGCCCCAAAACCUAAUACCCGGGUAUUACCUUCAGGAAGCUUGAACACCCCAAAUAUAUUUUUUUUCAUUUUACAUUUUUUUUUGGUGUUACCAACUCCAAAAGGUCUGAAACAUGUUCCUACAAAGGUUUUGGACAGUGAUUUUAACCCUAACGCCAAAAACCUUUAACCUUACUAUAGCCCCAUAACCUAAUACCUGGGUAUUUCCUUCAGGAAGCC